GAUGAAGAACGUAGCGAAAUGCGAUAAGUAAUGUGAAUUGCAGAAUUCAGUGAAUCAUCGAAUCUUUGAACGCACCUUGCGCCCUUUGGCUAUUCCGAAGGGCAUGCCUGUUUGAGUAUCAUGAACAUCUCAACUCCUCACGGUUCGCCCGUGACGAGCUUGGACUUUGGGGGUCUUGCCGGCCUGCGGGUCGGCUCCUCUCAAAUGAAUCAGCUUGCCGGUGUUUGGUGGCGUCACAGGUGUGAUAAAUAUCUACGCUUGUGGUUUUCCGCCAGGUAACCUCCAGCGAUGGGGGUUCACUGGAGCUCACGAAUGUCUCUCCUCGGUGAGGACAGCUCUUUGAACGUUUGAUCGCAAAUCAGGUAGGGCUACCCGCUGAACUUAAGCAUAUCAAUAAGCGGAGGA
This 405-nucleotide unclassified non-coding RNA is filed under the name soil metagenome. Its description in RNAcentral is "partial contains 5.8S ribosomal RNA, internal transcribed spacer 2, and large subunit ribosomal RNA". The stretch from base 1 to 121 matches the Rfam family "5.8S ribosomal RNA", at positions 35 to 154 of the family's 154-position model. The record is from RNAcentral.